CUUGUACACACCGCCCGUCACACCACGAAAGCUGGUAACACCCGAAGCCAGUGGCCUAACCCUUUUGGGAUGGAGCUGUCGAAGGUGGGGUCAGCGAUUGGGGUG
This 105-nucleotide ribosomal RNA is filed under the name uncultured bacterium. RNAcentral's name for it is "partial 16S ribosomal RNA". It matches the Rfam family "Bacterial small subunit ribosomal RNA", at positions 1380 to 1482 of the family's 1533-position model. The record is from RNAcentral.